RNAcentral lists this ribosomal RNA (488 nucleotides) under uncultured bacterium. RNAcentral's name for it is "partial 16S ribosomal RNA". It matches the Rfam family "Bacterial small subunit ribosomal RNA", at positions 28 to 507 of the family's 1533-position model. The record is from RNAcentral.
GACGAACGCUGGCGGCGUGCUUAACACAUGCAAGUCGAACGGAAAGGCCCUGCUUUUGUGGGGUGCUCGAGUGGCGAACGGGUGAGUAACACGUGAGUAACCUGCCCUUGACUUUGGGAUAACUUCAGGAAACUGGGGCUAAUACCGGAUAGGAGCUCCUGCUGCAUGGUGGGGGUUGGAAAGUUUCGGCGGUUGGGGAUGGACUCGCGGCUUCUCAGCUUGUUGGUGGGGUAGUGGCUUACCAAGGCUUUGACGGGUAGCCGGCCUGAGAGGGUGACCGGCCACACUGGAAGUGGGACACGGUCCAGGAUAAUAAGGGAGGCAGCAGUAGGGAAUCGGCCGCAAUGGGCGAGAGCCUGACGGAGCAACGCAGAGUGAGUGAUGAAGGUCUUAGGAUCGUAAAAAUCUGUGAUUAGGGAAGAAAAGAGGUGGAAGUAAAUGUGCACAGCUGGACGGUAAAUAAUCAGAAAGACACGGAUAACUAAGUG